RNAcentral lists this long non-coding RNA (218 nucleotides) under Elaeis guineensis (African oil palm). RNAcentral's name for it is "long non-coding RNA (EGUI_LNC061073)". Lineage: Eukaryota; Viridiplantae; Streptophyta; Magnoliopsida; Arecales; Arecaceae. The record is from RNAcentral.
UUGAGGAGGCGAAUACUUAACUAGUAAAUUUUUUGAUCAUUUAAAAAAAAAUUCUCUCUUAAUGGACUCCUCCCUACAUUUGAUAAUUAAAUGGUAUUGUGAAAAGAAGGAAUCACAUCUUAUUAGAUAUGGUGUGGUCCAUGAUGUGCUUCACAGAUCUUUCAAUCUCUAUCUGGGGUCAUGUCCUAAAGACUGCUACAUAUGUUUUAAAUAGGGUA